UGGGGAAUAUUGCGCAAUGGGGGGAACCCUGACGCAGCCAUGCCGCGUGAAUGAAGAAGGCCUUCGGGUUGUAAAGUUCUUUCGGUAUUGAGGAAGGGAUGUGUGCUAAUAGUACACAUCAUUGACGUUAAAUACAGAAGAAGCACCGGCUAACUCCGUGCCAGCAGCCGCGGUAAUACGGAGGGUGCGAGCGUUAAUCGGAAUAACUGGGCGUAAAGGGCACGCAGGCGGUUAUUUAAGUGAGGUGUGAAAGCCCUGGGCUUAACCUAGGAAUUGCAUUUCAGACUGGGUAACUAGAGUACUUUAGGGAGGGGUAGAAUUCCACGUGUAGCGGUGAAAUGCGUAGAGAUGUGGAGGAAUACCGAAGGCGAAGGCAGCCCCUUGGGAAUGUACUGACGCUCAUGUGCGAAAGCGUGGGGAGCAAACAGG
Molecule: ribosomal RNA, 429 nt
Filed under: uncultured bacterium
Lineage: Bacteria
Description: bacterial SSU rRNA
Rfam family: Bacterial small subunit ribosomal RNA
Source: RNAcentral